Molecule: non-coding RNA, 405 nt
Organism: Melozone crissalis (California towhee)
Lineage: Eukaryota; Metazoa; Chordata; Aves; Passeriformes; Passerellidae
Source: the annotation of a RefSeq genome assembly
CAGGUGGCCGUGACCCUGCUGGAGUGCGGGGGGGACCUCCAGCCCCCCAGGGGGUUCCUGCGCCUCUUCUGCCGAGGGUCCGGGUUCAGUUUUGGCAGUUUCGAAAUGGAUUGGGUUCGACAGAGACCUGGGCAGGGGCUGGAGUGGGUUGGAAGCAUCAACAGUGGUGGCAGCACCUUCGACGCGCCAUCGGUCAAGGGCCGGUUCACGAUCUCCAGGGACAACGGGCAGAGCUCGGUGACGCUGACCAUGAACAACCUCAAGGACGACGAUUCCGCCAUCUAUUUCUGUGCCAAAACCACUGUUACUGGAAAUGUUGCUCGUGCUGAUGCUUUUAACCCCAGACCAGGGCAGGGCCUGGAAUACAUCGAAGCAAUCAAGAACGAUGGUUCCAGCUACGCCUAA